GUGGCCCGAAUUCACAAAGGUGGACUAAAGUUAUACCCGGGGUAUAAAACGCGUCAUUUGACGUCAUUUUAAUCCAUGGACUAAAGUUAGUACCUAGGUACUAACUUUUGCGAUUCACAAAGGUGGACUAAAGUUAUACCGGGGUAUAAAACGCGUCAUUUGACGUCACGAUUUAGUCAGCUCUUUGGGGUGGACUAAAUCGGUGGAUUAAAGUUAGUCCACGGUUUUAACCAAUCAGAGAGCAGCAUUGCGGUUGCAGAAAAGUUUGCUGCAAAAAAAAAGUUUUUUGGACGGAGACGAGAUUCGGUGUGAUCGGCUUAUCUAAAGCUUAAAAUUUCACGACUUCGACCGAGAUUAAACAGACCAUACUCGGCAGAUUGUGAGAUUGUGAUCAAUCAAGACGACAAACAUGGCUCACAUUUUUGAACUGCUGUGCCUUCUUGCAACAGAGUGAGAUUCAGCAACACAUAGGAAGACCACAGCAUGGAUUAAGAGACAGGAAGAAUCCAUUUGAAUGCUACAAGGAUGAACCUUUCAGAGUGGGCUACCAACAGAGAGAAACGACACAUUGCCUGACAUGUUACAUGUUUUGACAGGACUUUGUUUUUAUGCCAUUGGUACCUUUUAGAAGAUGCAAGCAGACAAAGCAACUAUAUCAUAGUCAUCCGUGUGCAGAAUCAUCAAAGAUUUUUCUGAGGCAAUGGCAAGGAGUAACAGUUAAUGAAGUGUCCGAUGACGAGAAAUUCAAACCACCCAGCGACAAUUUGAUGAUUGCUACAGGUUUCCAAGAGUCGUAGGUGCUAUCGAUUGGGGCCAUGUCUACAUCAGGAGUCCUGAUGGGGAACAAGCCCUGUACUUAGCAGGAAGAACAGGUCUUCUGUAAAUGUAUAGGUAUCCGUUGCUCCUCUCUUUGAUGAAUUCCUGCCUGCAUUCUGUUGUCAAUAGAAAAGGACCAUGUGCUUCGGGUAUUAAGCAUUCCAUUGGAUUAUCUGUGUAUGAAAGUGGACACUUGUGAUCACAAAAUGGUAGCUUAGUUGAUAGGAUGUAUUCAUGCAUUCCGAUUUAUGAUCAAAUGACCAUCUUGCUUUUAAAAACCCAAAUUCACAACAUUUUUCUUGUUUGACAAAAGGUUUGGGAUGUGAAUUCCAGGAAAUAAAUGACACACACGAUGGGCUAAUGUAUAAGCAGGGAUGUGAGAGGUAUAAGCAACAUUUUGCUCAUGCUUAACUAAGUUUGGCAUGAGAUGGUCUUGGUCAUUCUUAUGAUUCAAGUCUAUUUUUAUACCAUUU
This 1289-nucleotide long non-coding RNA is filed under the name Lytechinus variegatus (green sea urchin). RNAcentral describes it as "uncharacterized LOC121414180". The record is from RNAcentral. Lineage: Eukaryota; Metazoa; Echinodermata; Echinoidea; Temnopleuroida; Toxopneustidae.